CCUACGGGAGGCAGCAGUGAGGAAUAUUGGUCAAUGGGCGGGAGCCUGAACCAGCCAAGUCGCGUGAGGGAAGACGGUCCUAUGGAUUGUAAACCUCUUUAGGCGGGGAGCAAUGCCGGGCACGCGUGCCCGGAGGGAGAGUACCCGCAGAAUAAGCAUCGGCUAACUCCGUGCCAGCAGCCGCGGUAAUACGGAGGAUGCGAGCGUUAUCCGGAUUUAUGGGGUUUAAAGGGUGCGUAGGCGGAUUUUGAGGUCAGCGGUAAAAUGUACGGGCUCAACCCGGGCCGGCCGUUGAAACUGGGGAUCUUGAGUGGGCGAGAAGUAUGCGGAAUGCGUGGUGUAGCGGUGAAAUGCAUAGAUAUCACGCAGAACUCCGAUUGCGAAGGCAGCAUACCGGCGCCCGACUGACGCUGAGGCACGAAAGCGUGGGGAUCGAACAGGAUUAGAUACCCUGGUAGUC
This 460-nucleotide ribosomal RNA is filed under the name uncultured bacterium. Its description in RNAcentral is "partial 16S ribosomal RNA". It matches the Rfam family "Bacterial small subunit ribosomal RNA", at positions 338 to 795 of the family's 1533-position model. The record is from RNAcentral.